This 230-nucleotide ribosomal RNA is filed under the name uncultured bacterium. RNAcentral describes it as "partial 16S ribosomal RNA". It matches the Rfam family "Bacterial small subunit ribosomal RNA", at positions 562 to 791 of the family's 1533-position model. The record is from RNAcentral.
AAAGCGUCCGUAGGCGGCUUUUUAAGUCUGUUGUUAAAGCUCAGGGCUUAACCCUGAAUCGGCAAUGGAAACUGAGAGGCUUGAGUGUGGUAGGGGUAGAGGGAAUUCCCGGUGUAGCGGUGAAAUGCGUAGAUAUCGGGAAGAACACCAGUGGCGAAGGCGCUCUACUGGGCCACAACUGACGCUGAUGGACGAAAGCUAGGGGAGCGAAAGGGAUUAGAUACCCCUGU